This is a long non-coding RNA of Neofelis nebulosa (Clouded leopard), 1652 nucleotides long. RefSeq lists it as uncharacterized. The transcript has 4 exons. NCBI's taxonomy places the organism in Eukaryota, Metazoa, Chordata, Mammalia, Carnivora, Felidae. The record is from RefSeq and is a predicted model, not a curated record.
UGACCUGUAGCAGAAAACUCCCAGAAGCCUGGCGGGAGCCGGCGCCACUGGUGAGACAAGGCUACACUGUGCACUUAUAAUUAGGCUUCACCUAGAGGUGCAACCCACUCAAACUACCAACUGAUGAAUGUCUCAAGCAGACCAAAGGUGAGGAAAGAAAUCAGGAUCCCAAGAACCUGGAAAGCAGGGCAGUCACGACAAUCGGCAGUUGACAACGUGGGGGUGAAGGGCUGAGGAAGAGACUGCCAUCUGCAGUAAGCCUGGUGAGGACCCCGGUGGAUGAGGGAGUGAAAAGCCCUGAGCAGAGCAAUGGUCCUGGGUCUCACAUCAACAGGACAUUGAGAGCCAUAAUUAUAAGGUCACCAUAUUGCCUCCUCUCAUCCUCACCAAUCCAAAGAGAUGUUCCUACAUCUGGCCAGAUGCUACCAGAAACUAGAUGAAAGCAAAAGUGACUGGGUCUAACAUAAGGAAAGAAAAACGUGUCCCUGGUGGAGGAGGAGUAAGUGCUCUCUCAGAAAUCAGAAGACAAGUUCGACCACCCUCAGACUCUUGGCAGCUCUCAGCUGAGAAAGACAAAGGGUUUGGCCAAAAUUGCUACCGUCAUCAUUCUGUCACAUCUUCGGUGCGAAUGAGAGGGCUCAGAGUUCAUGUCACGCACACGGGAAAGGGUGAAACUGGGGCCUGUCCAGGUUGAAUGAAGCAGCAGAUGAGAUAGAGCUGGCUUGGAAACAUAGGUCUUCCCACAGGGUGUCCUCCUCACUAUUCCACACUGCCCUUGGAUGGCUUGUGAGGUCCCUGGCAGCUCUCCAUCACAUGAUUCCAAGAUAGGGAGCUUCCUUUGACCCUGGGAGUAAAUCAGCCCAGCUAAAUGGGGGCAGCAAGGGCAAAGAUGACCUUCAAGAGUCAGCCACCUGAAGUAGACUCCUGCAUUGACCAGUUACCACCUCUGAGUCCAGGCCAGUCAUGGAGCCCUUGGUUUUCUCCUCUAAGAAGGAUAGGAAGUAUUUCCUUCUCAGGCUUGUUUGCAGAAUUUAGCAAGAUACAGUUCAAGUGUCGGUUCCCUUGUAAUCUUCCUCUCUCCCUUUCCCACAAACAGUAUUUGGAGAAUAAACAGUAAGUGAGCCUUGUUAGGAAACUUUCUUUCAAAUUAGCUUAGAGUUUAAGAUUUUUUUUUUUUUACAGAGUCUUAUAAAAAAUACUGAAUCUAUCUGUGCAAUAAAAAUAGGCUCAGUAUUUGCUUGGGUGUUUUCCUCACAUAUCUUUCAGUUCUUUGAAGCUUCUUCCAAAUUAUAAGCCAAAAAUAAGAGUGCUGUAAUUUUUAGAAAAAGUUACGUGUAUGCAAUUUUUAUAGCAAGUCAAAGAACUAAGCUAUAAUACAUCAUACUCAUGUUCAGUUAUGAAGACCAAGACUGUAAAAAAAAAAUACCAGCACCAGAAAGCCCUAGUUUAUUUAGUCUGGUUUCCUUAACAUGAAGUUCUUCUUGUUCUUAAAAUAUUCAGCUUUGGCUGAAUUCCAAAGCUGACAUAAGCCUACUUCAGGUGUUUUGAAGAGACUAAAGAGAAUCAGAACUGAAAGCAAAAUUGGAGAAUAAAACCUUUUAUGUGAUCACAAAUGCAAGAACCUUAUUGUUUGAAACCACCAUUAAAUCAAA